This 940-nucleotide ribosomal RNA is filed under the name uncultured bacterium. RNAcentral describes it as "bacterial SSU rRNA". It matches the Rfam family "Bacterial small subunit ribosomal RNA", at positions 8 to 981 of the family's 1533-position model. The record is from RNAcentral.
AGAGUUUGAUCAUGGCUCAAGAUGAACGCUAGCGGCAGGCUUAAUACAUGCAAGUCAAGGGGCCAGCAAUGGCACCGGCGGACGGGUGAGUAACGCGUACACAACGUACCUUUAACUGGGGGAUAGCAUCUGGAAACGGGUGGUAAUACCGCAUGUGGUUGCGGGGAGGCAUCUCCUUGUAACUAAAACUUUGGUGGUUAGAGAUCGGUGUGCGUCUGAUUAGCUAGUUGGUAGGGUAGAGGCCUACCAAGGCGACGAUCAGUAGGGGGCGUGAGAGCGUGAACCCCCACACGGGUACUGAGACACGGACCCGACUCCUACGGGAGGCAGCAGUAAGGAAUAUUGGUCAAUGGAGGGAACUCUGAACCACCCAUGCCGCGUGAAAGAAGAAGGCGCUACGCGUUGUAAACUUCUGUUGGGUGGGACGAAAAUAAUUCAUUUAUGGAUAGCUGACGGUACCAUCAGAAUAAGCACCGGCUAACUCCGUGCCAGCAGCCGCGGUAAUACGGAGGGUGCGAGCGUUAUCCGGAAUCACUGUGUUUAAAGGGUGCGUAGGUGGCUUAAUAAGUCAGCUGUGAAAUGUCUGGGCUUAACCGAGGCAUUGCGGUUGAUACUGUUAGGCUUGAAUCAAGUUGAGGUGUCUAGAAUGUGACAUGUAGCGGUGAAAUGCAUAGAUAUGUCAUAGAAUACCAAUUGCGAAGGCAGGUUGCUAGACUUUGAUUGACACUGAGCACGAAGGCGUGGGAGAUCAAACAGAUUAGAUACCCUGUAGUCCACGCCCUAAACGAUGCUACUAGCUUGUUAGAAAAUAAUUCCGGGUCGACAAGCGAAAGCGAUAGUCAGCAGCUGAGGAGUACGCCGGCAAGAUCAACUCAAGAUUUGAAGGGAUCGCAUGCGUGGAUACUGUGAUCAUCCAGUACCGAGCAUCCUUACUAACUAG